GAUGAACGCUGGCGGCGUGCCUAAUACAUGCAAGUCGAGCAAACGGACGAGAAGCUUGCUUUUCUGAUGUUAGCGGCGGACGGGUGAGUAACACGUGGAUAACCUACCUAUAAGACUGGGAUAACUUCGGGAAACCGGAGCUAAUACCGGAUAAUAUUUUGAACCGCAUGGUUCAAAAGUGAAAGACGGUCUUGCUGUCACUUAUAGAUGGAUCCGCGCUGCAUUAGCUAGUUGGUAAGGUAACGGCUUACCAAGGCAACGAUGCAUAGCCGACCUGAGAGGGUGAUCGGCCACACUGGAACUGAGACACGGUCCAGACUCCUACGGGAGGCAGCAGUAGGGAAUCUUCCGCAAUGGGCGAAAGCCUGACGGAGCAACGCCGCGUGAGUGAUGAAGGUCUUCGGAUCGUAAAACUCUGUUAUUAGGGAAGAACAUAUGUGUAAGUAACUGUGCACAUCUUGACGGUACCUAAUCAGAAAGCCACGGCUAACUACGUG
Molecule: ribosomal RNA, 497 nt
Filed under: uncultured bacterium
Lineage: Bacteria
Description: partial 16S ribosomal RNA
Rfam family: Bacterial small subunit ribosomal RNA
Source: RNAcentral